UACGAAGGGGGCUAGCGUUGUUCGGAAUCACUGGGCGUAAAGGGCGCGUAGGCGGCCUGAUAAGUCGGGGGUGAAAGCCUGUGGCUCAACCACAGAAUUGCCUUCGAUACUGUUGGGCUUGAGACCGGAAGAGGUAAGUGGAACUGCGAGUGUAGAGGUGAAAUUCGUAGAUAUUCGCAAGAACACCAGUGGCGAAGGCGGCUUACUGGUCCGGUUCUGACGCUGAGGCGCGAAAGCGUGGGGAGCAAACAGG
This 253-nucleotide ribosomal RNA is filed under the name uncultured bacterium. Its description in RNAcentral is "partial 16S ribosomal RNA". It matches the Rfam family "Bacterial small subunit ribosomal RNA", at positions 524 to 776 of the family's 1533-position model. The record is from RNAcentral.